This 506-nucleotide ribosomal RNA is filed under the name uncultured bacterium. RNAcentral's name for it is "partial 16S ribosomal RNA". It matches the Rfam family "Bacterial small subunit ribosomal RNA", at positions 29 to 523 of the family's 1533-position model. The record is from RNAcentral.
AGUGAACGCUGGCGGUAGGCCUAACACAUGCAAGUCGAACGGCAGCACAGGAGAGCUUGCUCUCUGGGUGGCGAGUGGCGGACGGGUGAGGAAUACAUCGGAAUCUACUCUGUCGUGGGGGAUAACGUAGGGAAACUUACGUUAAUACCGCAUACGACCUACGGGUGAAAGCAGGGGACCUUCGGGCCUUGCGCGAUUGAAUGAGCCGAUGUCGGAUUAGCUAGUUGGCGGGGUAAAGGCCCACCAAGGCGACGAUCCGUAGCUGGUCUGAGAGGAUGAUCAGCCACACUGGAACUGAGACACGGUCCAGACUCCUACGGGAGGCAGCAGUGGGAAAUAUUGGACAAUGGGCGCAAGCCUGAUCCAGCCAUACCGCGUGGGUGAAGAAGGCCCUCGGGUUGUAAAGCCCUUUUGUUGGGAAAGAAAUCCAGCUGGCUAAUACCCGGUUGGGAUGACGGUACCCAAAGAAUAAGCACCGGCUAACUUCGUGCCAGCAGCCGCCGUAA